RNAcentral lists this ribosomal RNA (253 nucleotides) under uncultured bacterium. RNAcentral's name for it is "partial 16S ribosomal RNA". It matches the Rfam family "Bacterial small subunit ribosomal RNA", at positions 524 to 776 of the family's 1533-position model. The record is from RNAcentral.
UACGGAGGGGGCUAGCGUUGUUCGGAAUUACUGGGCGUAAAGCGCACGUAGGCGGCUUUGCAAGUUAGAGGUGAAAGCCCAGGGCUUAACCCUGGAAUUGCCUUUAAAACUGCAUCGCUAGAAUUGUGGAGAGGUAAGUGGAAUUCCCGGUGUAGCGGUGAAAUGCGCAGAUAUCGGGAGGAACACCGGUGGCGAAGGCGGUUCUCUGGGCCUGUUCUGACGCUGAGGAGCGAAAGCGUGGGGAGCGAACAGG